CGGGUCGACUGGGCCGUCGCGGCGGCGGGAUAACUCUCGGCCGUCGAGGAACGUCCGGACACCACAGGGCAGGAUGGUGGGUAACGCCCACUCGGGGAGACCCGCAGGCCAGUGCCACAGAGAGCAGACCGCCCGCAGCGCCGCUGUGCGUCACGUGCGGGUAAGGGUGAAAGGGUGGUGUAAGAGACCACCAGCGCGAUGGGUGACCAUCGCGGCUCGGCAAACCCCAUCCGGUGCAAGGCCGAAUAAGGAUGCGUGAUCAGGGCUGCCCGCCCGAGCAUCCGGGUUGGCUGCUUGAGGCCCGCGGUGACGCGGUGCCCAGAUGGAUGGCGGCCCCCGCCGUGGACGCCGUAAGGCAUCGGCGGGACAGAAUCCGGCGUACAGGUCGGCCCGUCCC
Molecule: RNase P RNA, 397 nt
Filed under: Nesterenkonia aerolata
Lineage: Bacteria; Bacillati; Actinomycetota; Actinomycetes; Micrococcales; Micrococcaceae
Description: RNase P RNA component class A
Rfam family: Bacterial RNase P class A
About the family: Ribonuclease P (RNase P) is a ubiquitous endoribonuclease, found in archaea, bacteria and eukarya as well as chloroplasts and mitochondria. Its best characterised activity is the generation of mature 5'-ends of tRNAs by cleaving the 5'-leader elements of precursor-tRNAs.
Source: RNAcentral